UUUCCGUUGGUGAACCAGCGGAGGGAUCAUUAAAGAGUAUAAGACCUUCGGGCUAGAUCUGACCCCCUUUGUCUAUUUCACCUUUGUUGCUUCUCCAGGCGCGUCUACGGCCCCCGGAUUACGGCCUGUCUGCGCUUGCGAGAAGACGUUAAACUCUUAUUAUUAAUGUAGUAUGAGUACUAAAAAAUAUUUAAAAUUUUCAACAACGGAUCAAUUGCUUCUGGCAUCGACAAAGAACGCAGCUGAUCGGAAGUGCCAACGUCUGAACUCCAGUCA
Molecule: unclassified non-coding RNA, 276 nt
Filed under: plant metagenome
Description: partial contains small subunit ribosomal RNA, internal transcribed spacer 1, and 5.8S ribosomal RNA
Source: RNAcentral